Long non-coding RNA from Bactrocera oleae (olive fruit fly), 267 nucleotides. RefSeq lists it as uncharacterized. Lineage: Eukaryota; Metazoa; Arthropoda; Insecta; Diptera; Tephritidae. The record is from RefSeq and is a predicted model, not a curated record.
UACAUGACAUAUCUAUUUGAAAAGCUAUGAAGAAUAUUUUAAAAAGGAAUAUUUAUACAUAUUAAUAUAUACAAGCAUAUGUCAAGGUUAUAUUUUCAAGGACAGCAUGGCUUAACUUAUUGCCCUCAAGCAGAAAACAGUCAACAGUGAAAUUAGAGAUGAAAAUUGAAGUAUGUGAUUAUAAAUAUUUUAUUUUAGAAAAAUCUGUGCACGACAUGAAUCGGCACCAACUAAUACUAGCGAGUUGGUGCUAUCGAUCAAUAGAAA